AAAAUUUUAAAAGUCGAACAGACUUAAUUUCCUAGCCCCUACACCAAAAAUUAAUUUUAAUCCAACAUCGAGGUCGCAAACUAGUUUAUCGAUAUGAACUCUCCAAACCAAUUACG
RNAcentral lists this ribosomal RNA (116 nucleotides) under Neolucanus swinhoei. RNAcentral's name for it is "partial 16S ribosomal RNA". The record is from RNAcentral. Lineage: Eukaryota; Metazoa; Arthropoda; Insecta; Coleoptera; Lucanidae.